GACGGAUGAGGCAAGCGUUAUUCGGAUUUACUGGGCAUAAAGAGCGUGUAGGCGGUCGGGUAAGUCGGGUGUAAAAAUCUAUGGCUUAACCAUAGAAGGCCAUUCGAAACUAUUCGACUUGAGUACAGGAGAGGAAAGCGGAAUUCCUGGUGGAGCGGUGAAAUGCGUAGAUAUCAGGAGGAACACCGGUGGCGAAGGCGGCUUUCUGGUCUGAAACUGACGCUGAGACGCGAAAGCGUGGGGAGCAAACAGGAUUAGAUACCCCCGUAGUCC
This 273-nucleotide ribosomal RNA is filed under the name uncultured bacterium. RNAcentral's name for it is "partial 16S ribosomal RNA". It matches the Rfam family "Bacterial small subunit ribosomal RNA", at positions 524 to 796 of the family's 1533-position model. The record is from RNAcentral.